UCAAGAGGGCGUGAAAUCGCCAAGAUUGAAGCGGAUAGAGUCGACGAAACUCGGCGGCAUUCAUGCGCUGUGACUUGCGUGGUUGUGCUCGCGAUCCCUAGCGGGGCGUGGGUGUGAUUUAACGCCGGUAGCGGCGCUGCAAUUGCCGUCGGUAUGUGCCGAGAACGCGGUUGUCGUGCGUCGAAGCGAGUAUAGUGGACCAGACGCUUGCGUUUGUGAACCUGUGCACGUUGAGGCGUGUCGGUGAUCGCGUAGUAGUGCGGAUGUUGUGCGCUUGGCUUGCGUUGUCUGGCUGGCCGUCGGCGGUCGCAUGCGACUUGAUCGACGGUUUAGAGAGGCGGCGUGGGUCGGGUGUGUUCGUCUGCGAUGGGUCUCGGCGUGACCGUUGAUCACCUAUCCGACCCGUCUUGAAACACGGACCAAGGAGUCUAGCAUAUGCGCGAGUCAUGAGGUGUGCGAAACCGAGAGGCGAAGUGAAGGUGAAUACCGACUUAGAUCGGCUGAUAUGAGAUGCCCGCAGACACGGCUGCGAGCGGCAUCAUAGCCCCGUCCUCGUUGCUUGCAAUGGGGCGGAGGCAGAGCGUGUGCGCUGGUACCCGAAAGAUGGUGAACUAUGCCUGAGCAGGGUGAAGCCAGAGGAAACUCUGGUGGAGGCCCGAAGCGCUUCUGACGUGCAAAUCGAUCGUCUGACUUUGGUAUAGG
This 702-nucleotide ribosomal RNA is filed under the name Nematoda environmental sample. RNAcentral's name for it is "eukaryotic LSU rRNA". It matches the Rfam family "Eukaryotic large subunit ribosomal RNA", at positions 389 to 921 of the family's 3401-position model. The record is from RNAcentral. Lineage: Eukaryota; Metazoa; Nematoda.